Molecule: ribosomal RNA, 705 nt
Filed under: uncultured bacterium
Lineage: Bacteria
Description: bacterial SSU rRNA
Rfam family: Bacterial small subunit ribosomal RNA
Source: RNAcentral
AGAGUUUGAUCCUGGCUCAGAUUGAACGCUGGCGGCAUGCCUUACACAUGCAAGUCGAGCGGCAGCGCGGGGGCAACCCUGGCGGCGAGCGGCGCACGGGUGAGUAAUGCAUCGGAACGUGUCCUCUUGUGGGGGAUAACCAGUCGAAAGACUGGCUAAUACCGCAUGAGAUCGAGAGAUGAAAGCAGGGGACCCGCAAGGGCCUUGCGCGAGAGGAGCGGCCGAUGCCGGAUUAGCUAGUUGGCGGGGUAAAAGCCCACCAAGGCAACGAUCCGUAGCUGGUUUGAGAGAACGACCAGCCACACUGGGACUGAGACACGGCCCAGACUCCUACGGGGGGCAGCAGUGGGGAAUUUUGGACAAUGGGGGCAACCCUGAUCCAGCCAUGCCGCGUGUGUGAAGAAGGCCUUCGGGUUGUAAAGCACUUUCGGCCGGAACGAAAUCGCACGGGUGAAUAUCCCGUGUGGAUGACGGUACCGGAAGAAGAAGCACCGGCUAACUACGUGCCAGCAGCCGCGGUAAUACGUAGGGUGCGAGCGUUAAUCGGAAUUACUGGGCGUAAAGUGUGCGCAGGCGGCCGAGCAAGUCGAGUGUGAAAGCCCCGAGCUUAACUUGGGAACUGCGCUCGAAACUACUUGGCUAGAGUGUGGCAGAGGGAGGUGGAAUUCCACGUGUAGCGGUGAAAUGCGUANAGAUGUGGAGGAA